UGAAGCCAUCAGGCUAAUGGAGAUGUC
This 27-nucleotide non-coding RNA is filed under the name Macaca fascicularis (crab-eating macaque). Lineage: Eukaryota; Metazoa; Chordata; Mammalia; Primates; Cercopithecidae. RNAcentral also lists the same sequence under 1 other name. The record is from RNAcentral.